GGACAGCUUAGGCUUUUGAUUUGGGUGAGUGGCUGCUCUGACUGCGUGGAGAUCUGCCUGGGCAUCAAGCAGAGAAGGCCUCAAUCCACCACUAUCUCUGCACAGGAAGGGUUAGGAAACUCAGGCUGCUGGUCCGGGCAAGCAGUUGCUCCAAAUGCAUGGAGUUCUGCCUGGAUGUGGAGUGAAGAGGCCCCCCUGCAUCAGGAUCUCUACACAGGAAGGAUGGCCGUAGCUCAGGCUGCUGAACCAGUGGAGGAAGAAAAGAGCGAAGGCAUUGCUUGUUUGCCAGCACAGAGCUGUACUUUGAAUGCAGUCCCAUGAUCCUGCACCCACCUGCCUCAACUACCGCAUGUUCACGCAAAUAAAAAUAUGUUACUGAGUAAAUGAACUGUAUCUGGGCGAAUAAAUGAACUGUAUCUGGGCAAAUAAAUGAAUUAAAUACUUAUAAA
This 449-nucleotide long non-coding RNA is filed under the name Homo sapiens (human). Its description in RNAcentral is "HSALNT0150795". The record is from RNAcentral. Lineage: Eukaryota; Metazoa; Chordata; Mammalia; Primates; Hominidae.